GCCUCGGUAGUGUAACUGGUUAACACGCGCCCCUCUGAAGGGUGAAACGCGGGUUCGAUUCCCGUCUGAAGUU
Molecule: non-coding RNA, 73 nt
Organism: Parelaphostrongylus tenuis
Lineage: Eukaryota; Metazoa; Nematoda; Chromadorea; Rhabditida; Metastrongylidae
Source: the annotation of a GenBank genome assembly